UUACAUUUUAAAUUAGCUAAUCCUAGCACUGAAUUGGCUCAUUGUGGUAAUAGCAGUAUCUUUUGCUGCCAGGAGGAGGAGGAAGGUUGUGGAGCUUGAUCCAAGUGUGCUGGAAAUACAUGUCUACAUCACAUUCAUUCUUAACAGAUCCAAUCUGUUUGCAUCUUGAGAUUUUUGUACGAAGAGGAGGCUUGAAAUGAUUUCUUAUCUAUAUCGUUGAAAUGAA
Pristis pectinata (smalltooth sawfish) is the source of this 226-nucleotide long non-coding RNA. RefSeq lists it as uncharacterized. Lineage: Eukaryota; Metazoa; Chordata; Chondrichthyes; Rhinopristiformes; Pristidae. The record is from RefSeq and is a predicted model, not a curated record. The transcript is spliced from 3 exons.